AGUGAACGCUGGCGGUAGGCCUAACACAUGCAAGUCGAACGGCAGCACAGUAAGAGCUUGCUCUUACGGGUGGCGAGUGGCGGACGGGUGAGGAAUACAUCGGAAUCUACUUUUUCGUGGGGGACAACGUAGGGAAACUUACGCUAAUACCGCAUACGACCUACGGGUGAAAUCAGGGGAGCUUCGGACCUUGCGCGAUUGAAUGAGCCGAUGUCGGAUUAGCCAGUUGGCGGGGUAAAGGCCCACCAAGGCGACGAUCCGUAGCUGGUCUGAGAGGAUGAUCCGCCACACUGGAACUGAGACACGGUCCAGACUCCUACGGGAGGCAGCAGUGGGGAAUAUUGCACAAUGGGCGCAAGCCUGAUCCAGCCAUGCCGCGUGGGUGAAGAAGGCCUUCGGGUUGUAAAGCCCUUUUGUUGGGAAAGAAAAGCAGCAGGUUAAUCCCCCGCUGUUCUGACGGUACCCAAAGAAUAAGCACCGGCUAACUUCGUG
This 492-nucleotide ribosomal RNA is filed under the name uncultured bacterium. RNAcentral's name for it is "partial 16S ribosomal RNA". It matches the Rfam family "Bacterial small subunit ribosomal RNA", at positions 29 to 507 of the family's 1533-position model. The record is from RNAcentral.